Molecule: transfer RNA, 82 nt
Filed under: Moelleriella libera RCEF 2490
Lineage: Eukaryota; Fungi; Ascomycota; Sordariomycetes; Hypocreales; Clavicipitaceae
Description: Aschersonia aleyrodis RCEF 2490 tRNA
Rfam family: tRNA
About the family: Transfer RNA (tRNA) molecules are approximately 80 nucleotides in length.
Source: Rfam by way of RNAcentral
UCCGAUGUAGUGUAACGGCUAUCAUACUGCGCUUUCAAACGAGAGUGCCGCAGGGAUCGGGGUUCGAUUCCCCGCAUCGGAG